RNAcentral lists this ribosomal RNA (256 nucleotides) under uncultured bacterium. RNAcentral's name for it is "partial 16S ribosomal RNA". It matches the Rfam family "Bacterial small subunit ribosomal RNA", at positions 524 to 776 of the family's 1533-position model. The record is from RNAcentral.
GACAGAGGGUGCAAACGUUGCUCGGAAUUACUGGGCGUAAAGGGCGUGUAGGCGGGAAGGCAAGUCGGGCGUGAAAGCCCCAGGCUCAACCUGGGAACUGCACCUCGAAACUGCCUUUCUUGAGUGCCGGAGAGGAAAGCGGAAUUCCUGGUGUAGAGGUGAAAUUCGUAGAUAAUCAGGAGGAACACCAGUGGCGAAGGCGGCUUUCUGGACGGUAACUGACGCUGAGACGCGAAAGCCGUGGGGAGCAAACAGG